GCGCGUGUGGCGGAACUAGGUAGACGCGCUAGACUUAGGAUCUAGUGCCGCGAGGCGUGGGGGUUCGAUUCCCUCCACGCGCACCA
This 86-nucleotide transfer RNA is filed under the name Candidatus Marinamargulisbacteria bacterium SCGC AG-439-L15. Its description in RNAcentral is "tRNA-Leu". It matches the Rfam family "tRNA". From Rfam's summary of the family: Transfer RNA (tRNA) molecules are approximately 80 nucleotides in length. Their secondary structure includes four short double-helical elements and three loops (D, anti-codon, and T loops). Further hydrogen bonds mediate the characteristic L-shaped molecular structure. tRNAs have two regions of fundamental functional importance: the anti-codon, which is responsible for specific mRNA codon recognition, and the 3' end, to which the tRNAs corresponding amino acid is attached (by aminoacyl-tRNA synthetases). tRNAs cope with the degeneracy of the genetic code in two manners: having more than one tRNA (with a specific anti-codon) for a particular amino acid; and 'wobble' base-pairing, i.e. permitting non-standard base-pairing at the 3rd anti-codon position. Lineage: Bacteria; Bacillati; Candidatus Margulisiibacteriota; Candidatus Marinamargulisbacteria. The record is from RNAcentral.